Molecule: long non-coding RNA, 1242 nt
Organism: Cyprinodon tularosa
Lineage: Eukaryota; Metazoa; Chordata; Actinopteri; Cyprinodontiformes; Cyprinodontidae
Exons: 3
Source: RefSeq, a predicted model, not a curated record
GUCCCUGUUGUGUCCUGCAGCUGCAGCCUGAGAACCAGUGGACUCAGUAUACAGGGUUCUACUGCAUGGAUUGGAGAGAUGAGCCAAAUGUCAGAGCUAAUAUGCACAGAUGUGGCUUUUCUACGACUGCUUACGCCCACAUCGCAUCGACAAAGUGGCAGAAACCAUGGAAUGAAUCUCCACUACCUUUGCUGCUUGGAUCGCACCACCGGCAAGUAGAAGAGCUGAAGAGGACAUGGACAGAGUUGACCCGUCAAUAUUACUUACAACCUUACAGAAGCAUUCGUGCUAACUGUACAUUAAUAUAAAUAUUUGAUAGGAAAUUGAGUUAGCAAUGACACCCCUAGUGUUAAGGUUGAUGAGAUCAUUCUCAUUUUCCAUUCAAUAACUCAUCCCACUGUCUCUUUCCUGCACCUGGCUGGUGGGGCCUUUCCAAACACAGGUGAUAGGCAGGUGAAGUAGGAGGACGCAAUCUUCUCCACCUUCUGCCUGGUGCAAGUUUGUUUUGUAUUGUUUAUAUCUAAUAACAAGCUUUACACAUUUUUGAUAGAUUUUUUUUUACUUUUCCCACAUUUUGUGCCCAACAGGCAGACAGUGAUUGAUGUACAUCGGUUGAGUUGUUAUUGUUAUUAAUGUGUUUCCAUAUGUGGUAAUUUCAUUGUGUUGAUUCCCCUUUUUAUUUGCUGUAUUCUACUCUUUUUGUACUAUGUUUUAAAUUUUACUUCAUUUUCUUUUGGUUCGUAAGUAUUUUGUUGUUGUUUUAUCCAGCCCUUUCCAUGUUCUGUCAGUGUUUAUUUUAUUUCUUCACAGAUUUUAAGCUUGAGCUGGUUUUAUUUUUCACAGCAGGAUUCCUCUGCUACUGUCACCCUGCUUCCAUGCCCAGAUUCCUUUACUGUUAAACUUCAGUUUCGAGUGUUGUUUCAAAAGUUAAUUUGGAGCAUUUAUUUUAUAGAGUCACCUACAAUUAAUACCAAUGGGCAGGCUUGUGAAGUAAUGAGUGCCUUCUCACAGGAGAUGCAGAGAUACGGUUCGACAAGUAGGUGCAACAUGAGGUAGUCAUUACAUUUAACCCUUUUUAUCACUGACAUAUACACAUCAUUUGAGUUUGCACAGAUAAAAGGCAGCAAAUUUUCCCUUAAUCCUACUUUCUCUGUAGUAGCACACAGUUUUCUCAUGUUGCCUCCUAAUAAUACCUUUACCCAUAAAGACCAGCUGUCUAAGAGGCAGGUAACCAUUGCGCAA